UUGUUUAUUGCGUUUGUGAUCUAAAAAGGAACUGUUAAACUGAAUUUCUGAUUCUGAAUAAUGCUUCUGAAAUUAGAAACGUGUUAUCAAUACUUAUGAAAACAGAGUCUGUUCGUGUUAAUCCAUUCCAGAAUAAUAAUAAUAAUAAUAAUUGUUCUCAUAUUCUCCAUAAGUGGCAGUCUGGGCCUGGGCACAGGUUAAUCUUGAGGUUUGGUUUAUAUUACAUUGUAAAAUAUAUGCUACAUGUCAAUAUGUAUGCAUGAUAAUUGAAUAAUGGUGAUCUCGAUUCAGACACAUGCAAACUUAUUUCUAAAUGACAAUGAUUCCUCUGUCUAGUAAACCUUCUAAAUUAUGAUCACAACUGUAAAUUUAAACCUGUGUUCCCUCUGCCGCUCAUCCGAAGAGAGGGCCAUUAAUGGAUAAGGUAGAAUGUGCAGAGCGGUGGCUCCUCGGGAUCAGGAUUGAAAAUCACUUUCUGUUUAUCUAAAGAAAGUCAUUAAUUAGGAACAGUGUGAGGAUGAGUAAAUAAUGAAAACAUUUUGUGUGAAUCAACUGACUGACUUGGCCAUUCUCCAAUUAGCUUAAAAAAAAAUCUUCACUGUAGAAAUUUCAGAUCAUUGUUGUGGUGUAUAGAUUUUUUAUUUUCUCUUUCAAAAUUCAUUUUCCUUUCAACUUCAUUUCCAUCAGCAGUUUCACCGUCAUUAGAGAUGAGUUGGUCAAAGAAUGCCUUGAUUCACAAACUCUAUGGAGUCACUGUAGUUGUGAUUUUGUGUGUAUGCAGCAUAACAAGCCACAUUUUGUUUUACUUUUUAGACCAGCCCAGAAGUUGUAAUUCUAUGCUUAACUGUCUGCCUCUCUGAGAAUCUCAUCAAGCACCAUCAGAUACUCAUGGGAAUAAGGAGAAACUGGAACUGCUCACACUUAAAAUCAUCAUGAAAGGUGGCUCAACAGAUGAUCCAUUACAGACUAGGAUAGUGCUGGAAGGCAUAGAGGUGAUGAUGUAAUUGGAAGGUGUAAAAGGCUUGUGUUUCUCUGCUUGGCCUAAUUUAUGCAAUUAAUCUGAGUUACCCCAAUGAGCUCAAUGUGUAAUGUUUGUCUGCAACUGUUCGAUUAAAUUCUUGAUUUAUUCUUACGAUAUUUGUCGUGUGUUCCAAAAGUAAAUGUAAGAAAAAUUGUUGCAAAGGGUGAAAAAAAGUGUAAUCGAUUGUGAAGUUUGCAAUCUCUGUGUUACAAAAAAAAAAUGUAAAUGUUUGAAAAAUGUAAACCCUUUAAGAAGUGUUGCAAAGGGUGAAAAAUCAAGAAAAUAACAUGUUGGAAAUGAAGCUCCAUUUGUAUAUUUGUCACAUUUUGUUGUACAUUUAUGAUGUGUGGUUUUAGGCUUCACCUUCACCACAGCCUGUCAAAAAAAUAAACUGAAAUGCUUUAUUUUGUGUAA
Carassius auratus (goldfish) is the source of this 1435-nucleotide long non-coding RNA. RefSeq lists it as uncharacterized. The transcript has 2 exons. NCBI's taxonomy places the organism in Eukaryota, Metazoa, Chordata, Actinopteri, Cypriniformes, Cyprinidae. The record is from RefSeq and is a predicted model, not a curated record.